RNAcentral lists this long non-coding RNA (204 nucleotides) under Elaeis guineensis (African oil palm). Its description in RNAcentral is "long non-coding RNA (EGUI_LNC047175)". Lineage: Eukaryota; Viridiplantae; Streptophyta; Magnoliopsida; Arecales; Arecaceae. The record is from RNAcentral.
UCCGAUCAUCUAAUUUCAUCUAAUCAAAAUCUAAUUAGGACCUAAACGAUCCAAAGUGUGACUAUCAGAUCAAAUCGGAUUCGAAGGGAUAGGAUCGAGGUUUCUUCAUCGAUUUCAUAAAAUCAAGUAGAGAGAGACAAUUAGAGGAGAGAGAAUUCAUGAGGUACAAUUCGAAUUGAUCAGGUGACACAAUCCAACAUUACG